This 446-nucleotide ribosomal RNA is filed under the name uncultured bacterium. Its description in RNAcentral is "partial 16S ribosomal RNA". It matches the Rfam family "Bacterial small subunit ribosomal RNA", at positions 338 to 795 of the family's 1533-position model. The record is from RNAcentral.
ACUACGGGUGGCAGCAGUCGAGAAUCAUUCACAAUGGGGGAAACCCUGAUGGUGCGACGCCGCGUGGGGGAAUGAAGGUCUUCGGAUUGUAAACCCCUGUCAUGUGGGAGCAAAUUAAAAAGAUAGUACCACAAGAGGAAGAGACGGCUAACUCUGUGCCAGCAGCCGCGGUAAUACAGAGGUCUCAAGCGUUGUUCGGAAUCACUGGGCGUAAAGCGUGCGUAGGCUGUUUCGUAAGUCGUGUGUGAAAGGCGCGGGCUCAACCCGCGGACGGCACAUGAUACUGCGAGACUAGAGUAAUGGAGGGGGAACCGGAAUUCUCGGUGUAGCAGUGAAAUGCGUAGAUAUCGAGAGGAACACUCGUGGCGAAGGCGGGUUGCUGGACAUUAACUGACGCUGAGGCACGAAGGCCAGGGGAGCGAAAGGGAUUAGAUACCCCGGUAGUC